GGCUGGUCCCACGGCCGUGGGUUAUGAGAACUUAUUAACAUCAUUAGUGUCACUGAAGUUGGUAUUCAACCCCCCACUGCUGAAUUGCACUGGCUAUGA
This 99-nucleotide Y RNA is filed under the name Microcebus murinus (gray mouse lemur). RNAcentral describes it as "Y RNA (ENSMICG00000020252.3)". It matches the Rfam family "Y RNA". Rfam says of the family: Y RNAs are components of the Ro ribonucleoprotein particle (Ro RNP), in association with Ro60 and La proteins. The Y RNAs and Ro60 and La proteins are well conserved, but the function of the Ro RNP is not known. The record is from RNAcentral. Lineage: Eukaryota; Metazoa; Chordata; Mammalia; Primates; Cheirogaleidae.